Molecule: ribosomal RNA, 492 nt
Filed under: uncultured bacterium
Lineage: Bacteria
Description: partial 16S ribosomal RNA
Rfam family: Bacterial small subunit ribosomal RNA
Source: RNAcentral
AGUGAACGCUGGCGGUAGGCCUAACACAUGCAAGUCGAACGGCAGCACAGUAAGAGCUUGCUCUUACGGGUGGCGAGUGGCGGACGGGUGAGGAAAACAUCGGAAUCUACAUUUUCGUGGGGGUUAACGUAGGGAAACUUACGCCAAUACAGCAUACGACCUACGGGUGAAAGCAGGGGAUAUUCGGACCUUGCGCGGAUGAAUGAGCCGAUGUCGGAUUAGAUAGUUGGCGGGGUAAAGGCCAACCAAGGCGGCGAUCCGUAGCUGGUCUGAGAGGAUGGUCGGCGACACUGGAACUGAGCCACGAUCCAUACUCCUACGGGAGGCAGCAGUGGGGAAUGUGGGACAAUAGGCGCAAACCUAGUCCAACCAUGCCACGUGUGUGAAGAAGGCGUUCGGUUUGUGAAGCCCUUUUGUUGGGAAAGAAAAGCAGCAGGUUAAUACCCCGCUGUACUGACGGUACCCGAAGAAUAAGCACCGGCUAACUACGUG